RNAcentral lists this ribosomal RNA (465 nucleotides) under Vreelandella stevensii. RNAcentral describes it as "partial 16S ribosomal RNA". It matches the Rfam family "Bacterial small subunit ribosomal RNA", at positions 338 to 795 of the family's 1533-position model. The record is from RNAcentral. Lineage: Bacteria; Pseudomonadati; Pseudomonadota; Gammaproteobacteria; Oceanospirillales; Halomonadaceae.
CCUACGGGAGGCAGCAGUGGGGAAUAUUGGACAAUGGGGGGAACCCUGAUCCAGCCAUGCCGCGUGUGUGAAGAAGGCCCUCGGGUUGUAAAGCACUUUCAGUGAGGAAGAACGCCUGGUGGUUAAUACCCAUCAGGAAAGACAUCACUCACAGAAGAAGCACCGGCUAACUCCGUGCCAGCAGCCGCGGUAAUACGGAGGGGGCGAGCGUUAAUCGGAAUUACUGGGCGUAAAGCGCGCGUAGGUGGCUUGAUAAGCCGGUUGUGAAAGCCCCGGGCUCAACCUGGGAACGGCAUCCGGAACUGUCAAGCUAGAGUGCAGGAGAGGAAGGUAGAAUUCCCGGUGUAGCGGUGAAAUGCGUAGAGAUCGGGAGGAAUACCAGUGGCGAAGGCGGCCUUCUGGACUGACACUGACACUGAGGUGCGAAAGCGUGGGUAGCAAACAGGAUUAGAUACCCUGGUAGUC